This 1003-nucleotide ribosomal RNA is filed under the name Aquihelicascus yunnanensis. RNAcentral's name for it is "SSU rRNA". It matches the Rfam family "Eukaryotic small subunit ribosomal RNA", at positions 90 to 1102 of the family's 1831-position model. The record is from RNAcentral. Lineage: Eukaryota; Fungi; Ascomycota; Dothideomycetes; Pleosporales; Morosphaeriaceae.
CGAAUGGCUCAUUAAAUCAGUUAUCGUUUAUUUGAUAGUACCUUACUACUUGGAUAACCGUGGUAAUUCUAGAGCUAAUACAUGCUAAAAACCCCGACUUCGGAAGGGGUGUAUUUAUUAGAUAAAAAACCAAUGCCCUUCGGGGCUCUUUGGUGAUUCAUGAUAACUUCUCAGAUCGCAUGGCCUUGCGCCGGCGACGGUUCAUUCAAAUUUCUGCCCUAUCAACUUUCGAUGGUAAGGUAUUGGCUUACCAUGGUUUCAACGGGUAACGGGGAAUUAGGGUUCGAUUCCGGAGAGGGAGCCUGAGAAACGGCUACCACAUCCAAGGAAGGCAGCAGGCGCGCAAAUUACCCAAUCCCGACACGGGGAGGUAGUGACAAUAAAUACUGAUACAGGGCUCUUUUGGGUCUUGUAAUUGGAAUGAGUACAAUUUAAACCUCUUAACGAGGAACAAUUGGAGGGCAAGUCUGGUGCCAGCAGCCGCGGUAAUUCCAGCUCCAAUAGCGUAUAUUAAAGUUGUUGCAGUUAAAAAGCUCGUAGUUGAACCUUGGGCCUGGCUGGCAGGUCCGCCUCACCGCGUGUACUUGACCGGCCGGGCCUUCUCUUCUGGAGAACCUCAUGCCCUUUACUGGGCGUGUUGGGGACCAGGACUUUUACUUUGAAAAAAUUAGAGUGUUCAAAGCAGGCCUUUGCUCGAAUAUGUUAGCAUGGAAUAAUGGAAUAGGACGUGCGGUCCUAUUUUGUUGGUUUCUAGGACCGCCGUAAUGAUUAAUAGGGACAGUCGGGGGCAUCAGUAUUCAAUUGUCAGAGGUGAAAUUCUUGGAUUUAUUGAAGACUAACUACUGCGAAAGCAUUUGCCAAGGAUGUUUUCAUUAAUCAGUGAACGAAAGUUAGGGGAUCGAAGACGAUCAGAUACCGUCGUAGUCUUAACCAUAAACUAUGCCGACUAGGGAUCGGGCGAUGUUUCAAUAUUGACUCGCUCGGCACCUUACGAGAAAUCAAA